AGUGGGGGAUAACGUAGCGAAAGUUACGCUAAUACCGCAUAUGCCCUGAGGGGGAAAGGAGGGGAUCGCAAGACCUUUCGCUUUCGGAGUGGCCGAUAUCAGAUUAGCUAGUUGGUGGGGUAAAGGCCCACCAAGGCGACGAUCUGUAGCGGGUCUGAGAGGAUGAUCCGCCACACUGGGACUGAGACACGGCCCAGACUCCUACGGGAGGCAGCAGUGGGGAAUUUUGGACAAUGGGGGCAACCCUGAUCCAGCCAUGCCGCGUGAGUGAAGAAGGCCUUCGGGUUGUAAAGCUCUUUCAGCCGGAAAGAAAUCGCACCGAUUAAUACUCGGUGUGGAUGACGGUACCGGAAGAAGAAGCACCGGCUAACUACGUGCCAGCAGCCGCGGUAAUACGUAGGGUGCGAGCGUUAAUCGGAAUUACUGGGCGUAAAGCGUGCGCAGGCGGUUUUGUAAGACAGGCGUGAAAUCCCCGGGCUUAACCUGGGAACUGCGUUUGUGACUGCAAGGCUAGAGUGCGGCAGAGGGGGGUAGAAUUCCA
This 541-nucleotide ribosomal RNA is filed under the name uncultured Gallionellaceae bacterium. RNAcentral describes it as "bacterial SSU rRNA". It matches the Rfam family "Bacterial small subunit ribosomal RNA", at positions 135 to 671 of the family's 1533-position model. The record is from RNAcentral. Lineage: Bacteria; Pseudomonadati; Pseudomonadota; Betaproteobacteria; Nitrosomonadales; Gallionellaceae.